GGCCCGCUGGCCAAAUGGUAAGGCAUCUGAUUUCGGUCUACAUCUGCUACUCCUUGUAGAAGAUAAUCACUCAGAAGAUUGUGCGUUCGAGCCGCACGUGGGUCG
This is a non-coding RNA of Podospora didyma, 105 nucleotides long. NCBI's taxonomy places the organism in Eukaryota, Fungi, Ascomycota, Sordariomycetes, Sordariales, Podosporaceae. The record is from the annotation of a GenBank genome assembly.